UUCCUGAUGCGGCAACCCACCAGCCCAGCGCGCCCAGGUCACGCCGCCGGAAGCCGCCUGGACUCCCCCGGAAACGGAAGUCAGGGGGCGCCGUCCCAGAAGCUCUGAGCUAGGGACGGGCCCUGGCAACAGUCGUGGAGAGAGCAACACGCGCCUGAAGGUCUGUGCGCGCUGACGCCGGGCAGGGGAAUGGAAAUGAACCAGCACAUAGUGUAUCGAUUCUUUCUCAGGCUCGUAACAUUACGGAAUCCCUGUUGAAGUGCAAGCUGGACUGGCGGAAAUCAGAUUUCCCAUAUCUUCUCAAAAGCUGUUUGUCAAGAUUGGAUGCCUGGAGAGAGAGACCGAAACAGACAGAAGACAUACACAGAGAGAGACUGACUGACUUGUAUCUUUGAGAAAAGAAGGACACAGAAAAUUGCAGGGUAACCAGACCCUGUCUGAGAGAGAAUUCUUUCUUUGUGCUAACAGUGGAGAAAUGCGGGGCUGUCAUAUGAGGAGCAGUCUUACUCUUUGUGUAUCAGGUAAGGCAGAAAAGAGAAGACUAAGGUUCAAGGAAAGGGAGAAUUAGAAGCGGCCAAUUGAUUGAAAUCAACAAAAGGACGGCCAAGAAAUAUGAGAAACGAAGAGGAAGGAAAGACUGAGAGGGCGUUCUGUCAAUAGCAUUUAAAAGAGAGUAAGGAAUGUAAAGUGACCCGCUGUGAGGGAGCUACAAGAUACCAUCUGUGUUCUUUUCCCUGUGAGACCCUCUCUUCUGAAAAGAAUUGUCAUCCUCAAGCCCCGAACAGCGCUGCACUAUUUUGUUGGUGAUCUUGCUUUUAAAAUGUAGACUAUGAUGUUAUUUUAAGAGUUCAAUUAAUCUGCGACAACAUUCCAGUAUUUUGUAAAAUGAAAAUAUGCCGAGUCAUCCUGUCAAGAGAGAGGAUAACCUUCAAGAAGCUAGGGUAUUUUUUUCCCUAUCAUCAUGGUUGCCGAUUUUGACAGGGAGUUACCCAACGUGCAAGGAAUAUUCCUUGGUGUUAGCAGUGGGUUCCAUAUCAUGUUUUGAGCUAGUAUGGUCUUCUGGUCUAGAGCCAUUUGUGUCUGAAAAUGAUGGUUGUAGUAACAAUUUGUCAUAUUCUCUUUGCAGCAAGUUCCUUUUGCUCAUGAGCCUGUUAUUAUUGAAGAAGCAUUUCGUUGUAGGUAAAUGACCCUUGCCUUCUGUCUUUAAUUGAAACUCAGCCUGCUACAGUUAAUAUGUUUCAUUGCUCACUAAAUCUUGGGAGGAAAACCUAAUGUGCUAUAAAAGCAAAGGAAACAAAAUUAAUUGAUUUCAGCACACAUUUUUCCUAUGCGAUGGAGCCAGCUGUUUCGAAAGUAGAGUGCAUAUGAGUAGCUGGCUGUGGGCAUGUAUGCUUCUAUGAUUAUAUUCUGUUGUUUUUCAAAAGGAGCUCUUUUGAUAUUCUUUAUUAUGUAAUCUUCCUCACUUUCUUACCAGUAUCUGUUCAGUUGUAUAGUUCUGUUUUGAGAAGAAUAAACCUUUGGUCUAUAUGAAA
Long non-coding RNA from Leopardus geoffroyi (Geoffroy's cat), 1532 nucleotides. RefSeq lists it as uncharacterized. Lineage: Eukaryota; Metazoa; Chordata; Mammalia; Carnivora; Felidae. The transcript has 3 exons. The record is from RefSeq and is a predicted model, not a curated record.